Prionailurus viverrinus (fishing cat) is the source of this 1038-nucleotide long non-coding RNA. RefSeq lists it as uncharacterized. Lineage: Eukaryota; Metazoa; Chordata; Mammalia; Carnivora; Felidae. The record is from RefSeq and is a predicted model, not a curated record. The transcript is spliced from 3 exons.
UCUUUUUUUCUUGCAUUCCCCUACCCUCAGGACCCUGACCUCGGUGUUUGUCGUGCCGGCCGCGACAAGUGGCUCCCGAACAGGGACCUGAGACAACAAGGAGGAAAGUGAAAGCGGACCGCGCGGCGUCUAAUUCAGAGGAAGAUCCCGAGCUGUUCAGCUCUUUGGACAUGAUCCAGAAUUUACUGCAUGUGCCUUUCUGACACAGAAGCUGGUGGACGCUGCUUUUGCUCAGUCCAUCGAAUGGCAACUUGCCUUGGCUAAUUUUACAGGAUGAGGAAGCGCCACGCUGGGUCCCGCUUCGGCUCCUCAGAGACAUUACAGUUGCACCGAAAAAUGGCCAAAUUGACAGCGACGGAGCCCUCCCAGAAGCGACAACGGUGGAGUCAUAAGGCGGGUACACCCACAUGGGGACAGAUAAAGAACCUGUUGACCCAGGCCACUGAUGUAGUGAUGGCCUCAGGUAGAGAGGUAACAGCCACACAUGUCUUCUUGGCAUGCCUGUGCAUUCUAACUACAACCGGGGAGUCUGCUCUCUAUUGGGCAUACAUGGUAGGUCCUCCUACAGUACAACCUGUAACAUGGAGAGACCCCACACCCAAAGUAUACACCAACCUCACCUUUAUGGGAGGGGAAGAUGCAGGGUUUUUGCCCACUGUGUCGGCCUCUAUAAAUUGGACGGCACUCUCUGCAGGAGUACCCAUCUGCCUGCAAAGGGAGUCUACGCCGUACAAACUUGCUUAUGGGUGUUUGGGUAUGAAACCAGUAGGGCGGUCUAUUACUUAUACAUUGUGGCAAAAUGGCAAGUGUCCUUCUGAAUGGGUACCCCGCUCCGUUGCCGUUUAUUGGCAAAAGAGAGAAUUAUUAGGAGAAUGGAUGUUUUUUGGACCACAUGAUCCCCCUCAGAGUCUUCCUAUAUGUCCCUCAGCUGGUCAAGGCCUUACUGGGGACUCACCUUGGGGUAUAUGUGCCCAAUCCUCUUCUUUGAGGAUGACUCCUAAAGACAUAAACUAUACCAUUACAGAUUAUUCCCGAAAG